This 403-nucleotide ribosomal RNA is filed under the name Fusobacteriota bacterium. Its description in RNAcentral is "Fusobacteria bacterium partial 16S ribosomal RNA". It matches the Rfam family "Bacterial small subunit ribosomal RNA", at positions 355 to 776 of the family's 1533-position model. Lineage: Bacteria; Fusobacteriati; Fusobacteriota. The record is from RNAcentral.
UGGGGAAUUUUGCACAAUGGAGGAAACUCUGAUGCAGCGACGCCGCGUGAGUGAUGAAGAUCUUCGGAUUGUAAAUCUCUGUCCUUAGUGAAGAUAAUGACAGUAACUAAGAAGCAAGCCCUGGCUAAAUACGUGCCAGCAGCCGCGGUAAUACGUAUGGGGCAAGCGUUGUCCGGAAUUAUUGGGCGUAAAGGGUACGUAGGCGGUUUAAUAAGUCCUAAUUAAAAGGCUAUGGCUCAACCAUAGUAUGGUUAGGAAACUGUUGAACUUGGGUAGAUGAGGGGAAAGUGGAAUUCCAUGUGUAGCGGUGAAAUGCGUGGAUAUAUGGAGGAACACCAAUGGGGAAGGCAACUUUCUGGAAUCAAACUGACGCUGAGGUACGAAGACGUGGGGAGCAAACAGG